CCCCCCCCCCCAAAAGAAAAAAAAAAUCUGGUCUGGAUUGUGGCAGCAUUUGGUCUACCCACCCUUGCAUCUCUAAAAUUUGCCAUGAUCUGUUUUCGCCCCUUUAAAAAUCUGGUAGGAAUCUUGUACUUAACAAGUUAGUCUGUAACCGCUCGCUCUUUGCCUCCUAAAAUUUGGGAUUAUCAGUUAUUAUGUAAGAUUAAAUGAAUUAAUGGAUUUCAAGGUCUAUUUUUGCAUUUGUUUCUUUUUUUCCUUUUCUUAACACCUAAGCAGAACCUAUCUUAAAUUAAGAUGGAGGUACUGUUGGAAAGCUAAUACCUAAAUUACGGGUGCCUUAUCAUCUAUGCUGUACUUGCUUCACGGCUAAAUAAUUUCUAGAAAAAGCACUAGCCAACUACACCGUCUUGUAUUGGAGAUCCAAUUUUUCAUACUUUAGUGGCAUGAUCUGUAUCCAGAAAGGAGUUUAUAGAAGUAGUCUUUUUUGGACUGACAAAGAUAUCUUAAUAUAUUAUAACGGAAACUCUUCCAUUUCGGCUCCACUUAUUUCAAUAUUUUCUUGAUACUGAGUCUCAUUGUACACACUUUUUCUCGAUAUCAUUGGACUAAUAUCUUAGUCUAGGUAGAUAUGGUUUCCUUUUUCAUUGGGCACUCUCUUUCUCUUGUUAAAAAAAACACUCUUGAUUGGCUGAUGCCAUGUGUGGUUUACCUUUCCAAAGGAUUCGCUCUUUCAAAGAGGAAAAAAAAUUCCUUGCUUUAUUUGCUAGAGGUCUUGGAUUUCAUCUUUACCAUUACCCUUGAUCUUCACAAUCACUUCUGUAGCAGGUGCAAAGGUGACUUUGGAGUUUUUUUGCCGGUUUCUGACACCUGAUUAGUCUCAGUAACAAUGUAUGGUUUCACAUACUUAUGUUACUUCUCUUCGAGAGGUUAUGUCUAUACAAAUGAACCAAAUUGCUUUGAAGUAACUUUUUAGUACUCUAUUCUAGUCACCCCCUCGCAACCUCUGCCACUGGGAAGUAAAGUUUUCAAUUUACAGCUUUGUCUUUGGUAACUAGUUCAUUUUGUUUGACUUUAGUCUCUAUUACAUGUAGCCUUUAAAGUUUGUAGUUCUUGAAACUUUUUUGUCGCCAAAGACCUAAUUCUGGUAAAGUAGUCUAUGUAAUUUUGUAGUAUAUCUAGCUUUUAUGAUCCAAAUCUGAUGAUGCUAAUCGAAUUUCUUUCUAGAACAUGACUAUUUCUGCAUGUUAGGCUACUGAUGACUUUGCUGCUUUGCCUUUCAUAUUCUUCCAAAUAUUAAUGAUGCUUGCUUGCAGGUCACAGCAAAGUUCAACCUUUAAGGAGAGCUCCUUCUUUACAAUCUUAGUUGGCGAUUGGAGUCUUACCAUGAUACUUUUUGUGUUUUAGACUCUAUUUACUUUUAGCUUGGUUACUUUCUUGUAAUCAUGAUUCAUAUAAAUUCUAAUAGGUUGAAGCAGCUAACAUCUUGCUACAAGAUAUAGGAUACUCUAAGAUGGCUAGAGAGAACUAAAUGUACAACCUUUGAAAGUAUUUAUAUGCUUGGUUCCGUUGAAGCAAUUACAUGCGGAACUUGUUUGGUCACUUUGUAUUGGGUUUUCUAGGAUGAACUUCAGGCAGACAAUUAAGUUUCUUGUCCUGUGAGAAUUGACCUUUUGUUUUUUUGGUUUUCGCUUGUAGUCACAUGGCAUUUGAAUUUUCUUGCAGGGACUUAUAAAAUGGAUAGAGGCUCUUUAAGCUAUGAGCUAAUUUGCAGCACAAGUAGUUCUCAUGUCUUUUGAUCUUUCCUUCUAGGAUAUUCUCUCGCAGAUAUUCUUUUGAUUAUCUAAGUCCUUUUCACCAUCAUCUUGAUUUGUCUUUCUUGUUUUUGGCAUGAUAGAAAUGUUUUUUUUCUUCUUUGUAGAGUUGCAACUGUGGUUGUUGAAAGGGGGAUUUCUUAUUUGAGGUCU
Phoenix dactylifera (date palm) is the source of this 1961-nucleotide non-coding RNA. Lineage: Eukaryota; Viridiplantae; Streptophyta; Magnoliopsida; Arecales; Arecaceae. The record is from RefSeq and is a predicted model, not a curated record.